RNAcentral lists this transfer RNA (77 nucleotides) under Pedobacter sp. RNAcentral's name for it is "tRNA-Arg". It matches the Rfam family "tRNA". From Rfam's summary of the family: Transfer RNA (tRNA) molecules are approximately 80 nucleotides in length. Their secondary structure includes four short double-helical elements and three loops (D, anti-codon, and T loops). RNAcentral also lists the same sequence under 1 other name. The record is from RNAcentral. Lineage: Bacteria; Pseudomonadati; Bacteroidota; Sphingobacteriia; Sphingobacteriales; Sphingobacteriaceae.
GCCUCCAUAGCUCAGCUGGAUAGAGCACCGGUUUUCUAAACCGUAGGUCAUAGGUUCGAAUCCUAUUGGGGGUACAA